CCUACGGGGGGCAGCAGUGGGGAAUAUUGGACAAUGGGGGCAACCCUGAUCCAGCCAUGCCGCGUGUGUGAAGAAGGCCCUCGGGUUGUAAAGCACUUUCAGUGAGGAAGAACGCCUGGUGGUUAAUACCCAUCAGGAAAGACAUCACUCACAGAAGAAGCACCGGCUAACUCCGUGCCAGCAGCCGCGGUAAUACGGAGGGUGCGAGCGUUAAUCGGAAUUACUGGGCGUAAAGCGCGCGUAGGUGGCUUGAUAAGCCGGUUGUGAAAGCCCCGGGCUCAACCUGGGAACGGCAUCCGGAACUGUCAAGCUAGAGUGCAGGAGAGGAAGGUAGAAUUCCCGGUGUAGCGGUGAAAUGCGUAGAGAUCGGGAGGAAUACCAGUGGCGAAGGCGGCCUUCUGGACUGACACUGACACUGAGGUGCGAAAGCGUGGGUAGCAAACAGGAGUAGAUACCCCUGUAGUC
This 465-nucleotide ribosomal RNA is filed under the name Vreelandella stevensii. RNAcentral describes it as "partial 16S ribosomal RNA". It matches the Rfam family "Bacterial small subunit ribosomal RNA", at positions 338 to 795 of the family's 1533-position model. The record is from RNAcentral. Lineage: Bacteria; Pseudomonadati; Pseudomonadota; Gammaproteobacteria; Oceanospirillales; Halomonadaceae.